Molecule: ribosomal RNA, 379 nt
Filed under: uncultured eukaryote
Lineage: Eukaryota
Description: partial 18S ribosomal RNA
Rfam family: Eukaryotic small subunit ribosomal RNA
Source: RNAcentral
CAAUAGCGUAUAUUUAAGUUGUUGCAGUUAAAAAGCUCGUAGUUGGAUUUCGGGUGGGACUUGCCGGUCCGUCGUUUCGAUGUGCACUGGCCAGUCCUAUCUUGUUGUCGGGGACUAGCUCCUGGGCUUCACUGUCCGGGACUAGGAGCUGACGAGGUUACUUUGAGUAAAUUAGAGUGUUCAAAGCAAGCCUACGCUCUGAAUACAUUAGCAUGGAAUAACACGAUAGGACUCUGGCUUAUCUUGUUGGUCUGUGAGACCAGAGUAAUGAUUAAGAGGGACAGUCGGGGGCAUUCGUAUUUCAUUGUCAGAGGUGAAAUUCUUGGAUUUAUGAAAGACGAACUUCUGCGAAAGCAUUUGUCAAGGAUGUUUNCAUUAA